RNAcentral lists this ribosomal RNA (253 nucleotides) under uncultured bacterium. RNAcentral describes it as "partial 16S ribosomal RNA". It matches the Rfam family "Bacterial small subunit ribosomal RNA", at positions 524 to 776 of the family's 1533-position model. The record is from RNAcentral.
UACGGAGGGUGCGAGCGUUGUCCGGAAUCACUGGGCGUAAAGGGCGCGUAGGCGGCUUGUCAAGUCAGGGGUGAAAUCCUGCAGCUCAACUGUAGAAGUGCCUUUGAUACUGGCGAGCUCGAGGGAGGUAGGGGUGGGUGGAACUUCCGGUGGAGCGGUGAAAUGCGUUGAUAUCGGAAGGAACGCCGGUGGCGAAAGCGACCCACUGGAUCUCUACUGACGCUGAGGCGCGAAAGCCAGGGGAGCAAACGGG